AUUGCUCCAAGAUGGCGGCGGCGGCGGCAGCGGAGGAGAUGCUCUGCUGAGGGGCAGUUGCUAUGGUUACAGGGCCUGGACCGUCCUCCGGAAGGUGAGAAACAGGAGCGCAGCUCAGCUGGGCUGGAACUGCCCUCCUGGAACUCCCCCAGCCUGCAACCUAGGAGGUGCAGGGACUGAGGCUCAGGCCAAAUCGCAACUCAGACCCAGUGAACCCAAGGCCUGAAGAGAAUUUGGAUUCAUUUACAUUGUUUUGUGGGGACUGGAGAGACAAGUAAACUCUCAGAGUAACUGUCCCCUCUGACUACCAUUUCUAAGGCAAGCCCCCUGUUUCUACUCUUGCGCCCCCUUCUGGUUUCCUGCCCUGUCUGAAGGGCAGAAACCUACAAAAAGACUUCAUGGGGAAAUUAUUUGAUCAUCUGCUUGGAACCCAGAGCUACACCAACUGUGCUGGAGACCGGCCAGCCAAAUUUUCAGUCACGGUGGGGACAAGGAGACAGCGCCAUCUGGUGCUUGAGGGUGUGGCCAAUGAAUGUGGAGGGGAGUGUCCUAAGGUUGGC
RNAcentral lists this small RNA (560 nucleotides) under Pan troglodytes (chimpanzee). RNAcentral describes it as "processed transcript". Lineage: Eukaryota; Metazoa; Chordata; Mammalia; Primates; Hominidae. The record is from RNAcentral.